GACGAACGCUGGCGGCGUGCUUAACACAUGCAAGUCGAACGGAGCUUAUGGAGAGCUUGCUCGAAGUAAGCUUAGUGGCGAACGGGUGAGUAACGCGUGAGAAACCUGCCUCUCAGUGGGGGACAACAGUUGGAAACGACUGCUAAUACCGCAUAAUGUAUUCGGAAGGCAUCUUCUGAAUACCAAAGCUUUAUGUGCUGAGAGAUGGUCUCGCGUCUGAUUAGCUAGAUGGCGGGGUAACGGCCCACCAUGGCGACGAUCAGUAGCCGGUCUGAGAGGAUGAACGGCCACAUUGGGACUGAGAUACGGCCCAGACUCCUACGGGAGGCAGCAGUGGGGAAUAUUGGGCAAUGGGGGAAACCCUGACCCAGCAACGCCGCGUGAAGGAAGAAGGCUUUCGGAUCGUAAACUCCUGUCCUCAGGGAAGAGCAGAAGACGGUACCUGAGGAGGAAGCCCGGCUAACUACGUG
Molecule: ribosomal RNA, 470 nt
Filed under: uncultured bacterium
Lineage: Bacteria
Description: bacterial SSU rRNA
Rfam family: Bacterial small subunit ribosomal RNA
Source: RNAcentral